Molecule: long non-coding RNA, 1068 nt
Filed under: Erythranthe guttata (spotted monkey flower)
Lineage: Eukaryota; Viridiplantae; Streptophyta; Magnoliopsida; Lamiales; Phrymaceae
Description: long non-coding RNA (EGUT_LNC001359)
Source: RNAcentral
UUUCUCCCAUCAUCUCUCCAAUUCAACAACAACCCACCUAACACCACCUCCCGUCAUCUUCUACCCAUUAGAAUUCUGCACUUCUAUCCAGCCCCAUCCCCACCCAACACACCCCACCUCCUUCGCCAGUCCCUUCCCCCCCUCUCCCUCGCCUAAUCCAACAACAACAACCACCGUCUGCCGCACUAUCACAAAACAAUUACUUCUUCCUCUCUUUCAAGAUCUGCCGCACUAUCACCGUUUGCGAAUCAUAUCCGAGUUGAGGACAUUUGUUGGCAGAGGAGGAAGAGGGAGCGUUUUUUUGGUGGAUUCGACGAAAUGUAACGGUAUAAUGUGAAAAAAACUCGGAGGCUUUUAACUUUUUAAUAAAAAUAAAAUUCGAUAAUUAGAAAUUAAAUCUCCAUAAUAUGAUUCGACUGUUUUUAAUGUCUCAAUUUUCAAACCCUUCUCUUUCCUCCCCACACAUUUUUUUUUUCUUUUUUUCUGUGUGUGUGAAAUGAUUUUUGUGGCAGUGAGUGAAAAAAUUAUUUGAUAAAUAGAAGCUAUGGGUAUGGGGUCCAAAAAAUUGCAAAUGUUUGGUUAUACAUAAUGGAAUUCGUUAAUUACACAUUAAUUAAAGAGUAAUUUUCAUUAAUUACAGAGUUGAUUUUCUUAAUGGAAUUCGUGUUCUCUCAGUGGUUUUGUUAAUUACAUAGUGAUUUUCGUUAAUUACAUAAUAUUGUUAUGAUAUUUGAUUUUUUAAUUAUAUUAUGCAUUUAAAAAUCCAGUUUCCAAUAUUUUGGUAAUUUAUACGAGGAUAUCAAUAUUAUUUUAUGGCUCAAAUUUUCAGGACGCAAUAGAAUAACAAGAAGAAGAUGAUUACACGGACUAUGCUCUAGGGUUCAUUGGAGAGAAGAUGAUGUCGUUUAUAGUGGUUUUAUAGCUUUUUUUUCGCAGAAAUUUGAUGUUUUCUUGUUAGAAUUCAUAGUGGUUUUCGAUGUUUAUAUAGUUGUGUAUACAGAGUGGUUUUCAUGUUUAUAUAGUUGUUUUAUACACAGUGGUUUUCAUGUUUAUAUAGUUGUCUAUAUA